Molecule: RNA transcript, 4257 nt
Organism: Cygnus olor (mute swan)
Lineage: Eukaryota; Metazoa; Chordata; Aves; Anseriformes; Anatidae
Gene name: acrosin-binding protein-like
Exons: 4
Source: RefSeq, a predicted model, not a curated record
AGGUGACGCCUCUGUCUGCUCGGGGGCCGCCUCAGGCAGCGUGCACGGUGCCAUGUCAGCCACGUGGGCUUUCCUCCUUCUGUCCGGAGAGCCAGGGAUUGACUGAGGAGCCAAGGAGGAGGACUCGGAGCUGGACAGAACUGGGCAGAGGCUGGAACAGAGGUGGAGGCUGGAGAUGUGACAGGUUGGCACGUAGACCAGAAAUGAGAGCAAUGGCAGGGAUUUGGAUUUGAACCACCAGCUGGGAGGGGAAGAACCAACCAGAAGAGCAGGUAGGGGAGGCAGAAGAUCUGAGAGAGGACCUUGGUUAAGGACAAACAUGAGCUGGAAGAAACAAACCACUAGCUGGCAGAAAUGGACAGAAAGGCCUGGCCCAUCAGGCCACAUGCUAGCAGGAGGCUGUGGCGGAGUCCCAUAUUUCCUGGUCUCCUCAGUCCCCCACUUUCUGCAGAUUUCCACAAAGUCAUUUGGCAAAGUGUCUCACUCUCAUCUAGUGUUGUCUCACAGACGACUCGAUAACCUCUGUGAUCAUUUCAAGGGGGAAAAUUACACGCUUUUGUUUGAUCCUGCUGCAUCUGCAGUCACAAAGAUAUUAAUAAGAUGGCACAGAUGUUAACAAGACAGAGGCCAUGAGGAAAUUUAGGGACAUGAUAGGUUAACAGACUACUACAGAGAAUGCUUAGAGCAUGCCUAAAUCACAUUCAGUUUGCAACUUUAGAUAUGUUCCCCCUGUGCAUUGACAUAGUAAUAGCUCUUUAAUUCAGCUUCUCUUUUUUCACAUGGGUUUUGGCUUCUUUAGACCCAAGAUGGACAACGCCUUUGUAAUGAGCAGCUAUUCAUUAAGCUAUUCAGUUAAGUUAUGUCACCAUUACUGUUCAGUGUUUGACUGAUUUAUUUGCUGAUCCCAUCUGAAUGACUCAUUUCCUCGUGAACUUUUUAUAUACUCUACGUUUUAGUGCUUCACAGCUAUUAAUUGGUUUACAGUGAUUUUGCGAAUGGCAAAAUGAGGGCAGAGAGGGAUUAAAGUUAAAAAUAUCCACUACUUUUAGAAUCUCAGUUUGAGAUGCCUCAGUCCUGUCUUCUCAGAGCACACAUGCUAAUGUAGCGCUUACACUCAAAAUACAGCACAUGCAGAUUCCAAAACUGCAAGAGACUUCAGCCUUCCUAUAAAUGGCAACCCACAAGGUAAUGAAAAUGCCAUUAAUAAUGUGCUGAGAAACCUGGUACUUGCCUAGCAUCACAUGCAAGCCUCUGUGGUGCAGCCAGGAAUAAAACCUACUUUUUGGAAGAGUACCCACAAAACUACCCCUCCUCUUCCAGCAUCUUCCUGCCUUCUCCUUUUUUAUACACCUUCCCAACUGUGGGAAGUGAGGCAGAUGUCUCGAAUGCAGCAUAAGCCUAACCUGGAAAACUUUGAUUCCCUGCCUGGGCGGGUCCAGCCUCUGCAGUGAAGGAUCUGGCAGUCCUAAGGAUAGAACAGAAGCUUGCUGCGUACUUAAAAAUGGAUAAAAACAUAUGCACAAGGAGAUGAAACUAAGAUUGCACAGGACAGUUUCACUUGGGCACAUCUAACUUCCAAAUGUUUGAUUUUGACAGCUUUCAUAAUGUUCUCUACAGGGAAGAACUGGCUUUAAAUUUUGCGUAUGGGUUCAGUGAAUGCUUGGACCGUUUUAAGGGCAUACAUGUAUCUGCUGGGGCAUGCUCCAUUAACGCCAGGGGUCAGGAUACACUGACCCAGAGGAAGAGAACUUGCAGAUGCAAAAAUCUUGAAAGGAAACCAUCUCCUUGCUCCAGCCCUGACAGCAGAGCUGCAUUUCCAGUUCCAGCCAUGACUUCCAAGACCUUUCUCCCAGUUCAGGACUUCAGUCUCCAGAGGUUUUGGUCAAAGCCCUUCAGCCAUGUACUGUCCCCCAGGUACUACCCCCCUGUUAGCAGGGGCAGAGCAGGUCCUCUCCAUGUCUGGACCCCCCAUCUUGACCCUGUCCUGGCAUUUCCAGUGUUCUGGACCCCGCAUCCGGAGAAAGCAAUGGAGGUCUGGGUUCAGCCCGCCAGCUCUUCUGAGUGUGCCGCUGUGAGCAUUUCCUCCUCCUCCCACCCCCUGUAUUUUAUUUUCCACCAGCGCUCUCAGGCUGGGGCUGCACUGCCGGCCCCCGAGGCGUGAAGGCGCAGCAGCCAGGAGCGCCGCUCUCCAGCCACGAGUACCGCCAGUUCUUCAGGUCCCUCCGGGCCGCCCACCGCGCCACCACCGCCUGCCACCUUCGUGCGCUGUACGGCUGCCAGAACCCCCUGGUCCGGAGACUGGAUGAGUAUGAAAACCACGGAGUGAUCCCCAAAGGGCCUGUAUGCUCUGAACUGCCAGGAACUCCUUUCUUCCCCAACUUCUGUGCCUUUGCUUUUUAUCGCUGCACUAUGAAAAGGUACUUCAUUAAGAGGACUGCAUGCCCAGGAGACAGUAAGGCUGAGCUGGGCAGUACGCGAACCUUCAACAUGACCACGAGCAGUGACGCAGUGUUGUCUAGUAUCUUCCGUUCCCAGCCCGUUUUUCCCACCUCUCCUACAAGCACCCAGCCAGCCGGCUCUAAACUCGACAUGGAAGUAGCUGUGAUCUCCAGCUCCUUACCCGAGGGCUCACCAGAGCUGAGGAACAUGCAACAGAGUCCUUCUGACCCACAUGCCUCAGAGGUGACAGUCAUUGGCCAGCAGCAGGGACAGCUGCCCACCACUGACAUCCAGGACCUCCUUCUGAGGCUGCAGGAUACCCACGUGCAGAGUUUGAUGCAGAAACUGCAGCAGCUGAUGGCCAUGGGGAAGGCGGUGGGGGAGGAGGAGUUGCAGGCUGUUGCCCUAAAGCUGCUGGUGGCCCUGAACAACGCAAGUGUGUCUCCGUGGGCAAAAAGCACCGACACGGGACAUGGAAGAGAAGAGUGAUCAGCAAAGGAGGACCAGCAAUUGUCCAGCAAAUCUUCUGCAUGCUGUCUCAGAGGGGAUGUAUGGGAACACAGAACCUAGAGAAGGAGUCCUUCCUAGGCCUGAGGCAGCAUCAAAGUUGACAGUACUUCCCCAGGCCAACAGUGUAGGAAGCAAGGGGGAAAGGCGCAAGGGAAAAUCCAGGCACCUGAAAUGGUAUCGCUCAGGAUUCAGAGAAAGACAUUAUCCUCUUGAAAGUAACUGUACUGAAUAUAUAUUGUCCUCUCCCACACAAACUGUUCACCCACCACUUUUCAGUCUGGGAGAUCUCCAUUCUUGAACAAGGCAAGAUGGAAAAAAAUGACUUUUUUUCCUACAUGUGGCUCUACCACCACCAUCACUAGCUCUCUGUCCUUGCAGAGAGAUGGAGUUUGUUAUGUCCUUCAAUGAAUGUCACAGGAGAACACUGGCCUUUCUUCAUCAAGGAUAGGUGUUUCUGCUGGGAAGCAUUAAGGGAAGAUUCUUCUUUGGAAAUGUGUGUGUGAAUACACAAACAUAUAUACACAAGGGGUGCUCUAAAUGCAGAAGGCCUUACCCUGCAAUGGAACUGCUUGUUCUGGUUGUCGUCUAUUUCUGAAAUAGACUCUAUGAAAUACACAGAGUAAGUAUACACAUUGAGAAACUCUUGUCUCUCAGAAAAUAAGUAACAGAGUCACAUUUAUGGGAAUUUUGGCUGUAGUGCUGUUCCUUUUGUAAACACUGGGCACAUCUGUAUGUAAAACCCCAUGAAGUUACCUGCAGCCAGCAUGAGCUAACAGCAGAGUGGAAACUGAGGGAACCAGCUCUGGUUUUCUGAAUCUCCACUCACUCUGCGUUUAGAGCCACCACCAAAAUGAGAAUCUCCCGUUCACCUUUCCCCACAGACUUUGCUGUAACCCAUUCCACGGAGGGCUAGGAGGGGAAACGAGCCAAAGGCGGCUCUGCCCUUGGAUGCAUCACACCGAGCACGUUGCCCCGUGGCGUGGGUCGGGGAUGUCCAUGGUCCCUUUAUGCUGACUGAGGGACACAACCACAGAUAAGUAGAGGCACUGUCUCUGUCCUCUGAGGGAAGUCCUUAGAAGAUCUCCUUCCUUUUUUUUUUUUUUUUUUCCAAAUUACCAACCAAAGAAGACUAACUACCGCAGCUACGACUUCACCUGCCCUCACGUUUGAUCGCUGUAAGCAUUUCCCACCACUUCCAAGCCACACACACAGCCGUGACCGGUGUGACAAAGACUCCCCUGCUCCCUCCGACCCCAACACCUCGCUCUCCCCCCCCGCUCCCAAACCGCACACCCUCCGCUUGGCGAG